AUAGCACGAGUUUGAUCAUGGCUCAGGAUGAACGCUGGCGGCGUGCCUAACCCAUGUAAGUCGAGCGAUGCUGUUAGCAAUAGCAGCAGAGCGGCGGAAGGGUGAGUAACACGUAGGAGACCUACCUCAUCGCAGGGAACAACUUCGCGAAAGCGGAGCUAAUACCCAGAAGGCUCGUGGAUUCAGUUGCACGAGGAGAGUGCCUCUGAAAGGAGGUGCGUGAUGAGAGGGUCCUGCGGCCCAUCAGCUCGUUGGCAGGGUAACGGCCUACCAAGGCAACGACGGGUAGGGGGUCUGAGAGGACGAUCCCCCACACUGGAACUGAAACACGGUCCAGACGCCUACGGGUGGCAGCAGGGAGGAAUAUUGGGCAAUGGGCGAAAGCCUGACCCAGCAACGCCGCGUGAAGGAAGAAGGUCUUCGGAUUGUAAACUUCUUUUAUCAGGGACGAAGGAAGUGACGGUACCUGAUGAAUAAGCCACGGCUAACUACGUG
RNAcentral lists this ribosomal RNA (495 nucleotides) under uncultured bacterium. RNAcentral describes it as "bacterial SSU rRNA". It matches the Rfam family "Bacterial small subunit ribosomal RNA", at positions 1 to 507 of the family's 1533-position model. The record is from RNAcentral.